Homo sapiens (human) is the source of this 8203-nucleotide RNA transcript. It is a transcript of the gene named multiple C2 and transmembrane domain containing 2, with no coding region annotated. Lineage: Eukaryota; Metazoa; Chordata; Mammalia; Primates; Hominidae. The record is from RefSeq and is marked validated. The transcript has 24 exons.
AGGGUUGCUCCCUGCGCUUCCGAGUGGCGACUGCAGCGGGUCCGGUGCAGGUGAGGGGCGCGCGCCUGCCCAGCUUUGCAGCCCCCGAACGCGGCCUCGCACAGGUGAGGGCGGUGCCGGGUUCACCUGGCAGCGCGCGUGGGCCGGGCAGCACGGUCGCCGCCUGGGGGUGGGCGUCUUCUCUCAACCGAAGCUGGGAGUUGGGGAGCUGGAGGGUCCAGGAUGAGAAUUCAGUGGCGCUACUACCCCGGAGCUGCUUGUGGUUCAGAGAUCAGAAAGGUGUCCUGAGGACUGGAGGCAGAAAUCCAGGCGUGGCGUACUGGAAGGCGCACUAGGGGAGGGCAGCCUGGCCCAGAAUUUCUUUGCAUUUUAAAGGCCACACAUUCAGUCUCCCCGGGGCGCUACGGAGGUAGUCACCGCCACAUCCAGGACUCCUUCCACAGAGGAGUCAUUGCAGUUUUCAGUAGAGGUGUACUUCUGAGAAGUGGCUUCUUGGGUCUUCAUGCAGCCAUGGAUCUGGAUAAACCAUCUGUUUGGGGCUCAUUAAAACAGCGGACCAGGCCAUUGUUGAUCAACUUGAGCAAGAAGAAGGUGAAAAAGAACCCAAGUAAGCCCCCAGAUCUACGGGCAAGGCAUCACUUGGACCGCCGUCUCAGCCUCUCUGUGCCUGAUCUCCUGGAGGCUGAGGCCUUGGCCCCAGAGGGCCGGCCUUACUCCGGGCCACAGUCUUCCUACACCUCGGUGCCCAGCAGUCUGUCCACUGCAGGGAUCUUUCCCAAGAGCAGCAGUAGCUCCUUGAAACAGUCUGAAGAAGAAUUGGAUUGGAGCCAGGAAGAAGCCAGUCACCUCCAUGUGGUGGAAACAGACUCAGAGGAGGCCUAUGCCUCUCCUGCUGAGCGGAGACGGGUGUCCAGCAACGGCAUCUUUGAUCUUCAGAAAACUUCCCUUGGAGGGGAUGCACCAGAAGAGCCAGAGAAGCUAUGUGGAAGCAGUGACCUGAAUGCUUCUAUGACAUCUCAACAUUUUGAAGAACAAUCUGACAGUCAAAAGUUUGAAAUGACUCAAAAAUUUAAUUGGGCUCAUGUAAUACAUAUUCAAAAACAGACUUGAAUUCUACAAUAUGGCCAGCAGGAGUUGAUGCAUUUCUGGAGGAGGAAGUGACUGAGUUGCGGGAAGGUACCGGGGGAAGCCAGUGAUGGCUUGAGUAACCUCCCCAGCCCUUUUGCGUACCUCCUCACCAUACACCUGAAGGAAGGCCGGAACCUGGUUGUCCGAGAUCGCUGUGGCACAAGUGAUCCUUAUGUGAAAUUUAAGCUGAAUGGGAAGACGCUGUACAAAAGUAAAGUCAUAUAUAAGAACUUGAACCCAGUAUGGGAUGAGAUAGUUGUAUUGCCAAUCCAAAGCCUUGAUCAAAAGCUACGUGUGAAGGUAUAUGAUCGAGAUUUAACCACAUCUGAUUUCAUGGGUUCUGCAUUUGUCAUUCUCAGUGAUCUUGAGCUUAACAGAACAACUGAACAUAUUUUAAAACUGGAAGAUCCAAACAGUUUAGAAGAUGACAUGGGAGUGAUCGUGUUAAAUUUGAACCUAGUGGUAAAACAGGGUGAUUUCAAGAGACACCGUUGGUCAAAUCGGAAGCGAUUAAGUGCCAGCAAGUCCUCUUUGAUACGCAACCUACGGCUCUCUGAGUCCUUGAAAAAGAACCAACUCUGGAACGGGAUUAUAAGUAUAACUUUGUUGGAAGGGAAGAAUGUCUCAGGAGGAAGCAUGACAGAGAUGUUUGUCCAGUUAAAACUGGGAGAUCAGAGGUAUAAAAGUAAGACACUGUGUAAGAGUGCAAAUCCGCAGUGGCAGGAACAGUUUGACUUUCACUACUUCUCUGACAGGAUGGGCAUUUUGGACAUUGAAGUGUGGGGAAAGGACAACAAAAAGCAUGAGGAACGUCUGGGCACGUGUAAAGUGGAUAUCUCGGCACUCCCUCUGAAGCAAGCCAACUGCCUGGAGCUGCCACUGGACAGCUGUCUGGGGGCUCUCCUUAUGUUGGUCACACUUACACCCUGUGCGGGGGUCUCCGUCUCUGAUCUGUGUGUCUGCCCCUUAGCAGACCUCAGCGAAAGAAAGCAGAUUACCCAGCGAUAUUGCUUACAGAACUCCCUGAAAGAUGUGAAAGACGUCGGCAUUCUACAAGUGAAGGUUUUAAAGGCAGCAGAUCUCUUAGCGGCAGAUUUCUCAGGGAAGAGUGACCCAUUUUGCUUGUUGGAGUUAGGCAAUGACCGACUUCAGACGCAUACCGUCUACAAAAACCUCAACCCUGAAUGGAACAAAGUUUUUACAUUUCCCAUUAAAGAUAUCCAUGAUGUUUUGGAAGUGACAGUGUUUGAUGAAGAUGGAGAUAAACCCCCAGAUUUUCUUGGAAAAGUUGCCAUUCCCUUGCUGUCCAUUAGAGAUGGACAACCGAAUUGUUAUGUACUAAAGAAUAAAGAUUUAGAACAAGCUUUUAAAGGAGUUAUUUACUUAGAGAUGGACCUUAUAUAUAAUCCGGUGAAAGCAAGUAUUAGGACUUUUACUCCCCGGGAAAAGCGCUUUGUUGAAGACAGCCGCAAGCUGUCCAAAAAGAUCUUAUCAAGAGAUGUGGACCGUGUGAAAAGAAUCACUAUGGCAAUAUGGAAUACAAUGCAGUUCCUUAAAAGCUGCUUCCAGUGGGAAUCCACAUUAAGAAGUACAAUAGCAUUCGCGGUAUUUUUGAUCACUGUCUGGAAUUUUGAACUAUAUAUGAUCCCCUUGGCAUUGUUGCUGAUCUUUGUCUACAAUUUCAUCAGACCUGUGAAAGGCAAGGUCAGCAGCAUCCAGGACAGCCAGGAGAGCACAGACAUAGAUGACGAGGAGGAUGAAGAUGACAAGGAAUCUGAGAAAAAGGGGUUGAUUGAAAGAAUCUAUAUGGUACAGGAUAUUGUUUCAACUGUUCAAAACGUCUUGGAGGAAAUAGCUUCUUUUGGAGAAAGGAUUAAGAACACAUUUAACUGGACGGUCCCCUUCCUUUCAUCUCUGGCCUGUUUGAUUCUGGCAGCAGCCACCAUCAUUUUGUAUUUCAUUCCACUGCGGUACAUCAUUUUAAUCUGGGGCAUAAAUAAAUUUACUAAGAAGCUUCGAAAUCCCUAUUCCAUCGACAAUAAUGAGCUACUAGACUUCCUCUCUAGGGUACCGUCUGAUGUUCAAAAGGUGCAGUAUGCAGAAUUGAAACUCUGCAGCAGCCACAGCCCCCUGCGGAAGAAGCGCAGCGCUCUCUAGGGCACACACCGACUUUGGACAGCAGCACCCAAUAUUGUGUUUGGUUGAGUAGACCAAUGUUAUGGCUGUUUCAGUGGUACCCAAGGUGUCCUUCUGAAAUGCAUGCCCUGUGGCACCCUCUGUAUACUUCCUCCUCCUUCACGUGCACAGACAUACACACAUGUGCACACACCCUCAUGCAUGGGUGUCCUAGUUGCGUAGAGGGUCAGCCCAGCGAAAAGCAACAACCCCAAGACUGUGAAAGACUAACAUCCAUUCUGAAAUAGGAGAUAACAAGGCUGCCAUGGAUCUGAACACCACCUUCCUUGAGAACAGCCAGGAGCCCACUUGGAUUCAAGAGUGACUUUGAACUUGUUUUCACACCUCCAACAGACUCUCAUUAAGAUUCAGUUAUUUCCGCUCCCCAGCCCCACACUCCUUUCAGAUUAUCGUUCAUGGGCGUAAGUCUCUUCUCAGAGUUAACAAGUCUUUGGUAGUCAUCCUCUGUCCAAAUAUUGUAUAUUAUUAAAAGGCAUUUUUAAUAAUUACCAGAAUUAGCUCAAACCUUUAGGGAUCUUUCAGCCAUGAUUAUUAAGGAUAUGUAUGUGAAUUUUUGGGAAACCUCUCGGUGCUGGAUGCCAGCCUACAGCAGGGUCCAUUGCUGGCAAUGGAUGGCCCAGGAAGGUCCCUAGAGAUCACUCACUUGAAAAAUGAGGGUCCCAUGAAAGUAUUUGGUUGCCUUCUGAUGCCACUUCUUCUCACUUUACUUUUUGCUUAUUUUCAAAAUAUUAUAAAAUGUCAACAUAUAAUUUCAGAAAGGCAGGUGGGGGUAGGGGAGAAAUGAAUGAAUAAAUUCUCUAGGUAUUUAGAAAGAUAAGAAACUGAAGACCGAGAGACUAAUAAGGCUGCUUACCUAAUUAUUAUAAUCAUUUCAUUUGCCUGAAUGUUUUAAGCAGGAAGUAGAAAUACUUUGGCUGCCCAAAUGUAUCUUUUGUUCCUCUUAGAAGUAAAAUAAGCUACAUACAAUAAAAAUUUAUUUCAGAACCCCAUUUCUAGAAAAUACCACCCCAGAGUCCUCAUUUGAUAGCAUCUGUCUCCUGCAGACCUCAUCAUUCCACAGUAUUUCCCUGCCAUGUAAAAAUCCUGACUUUGUGCGUAUAUAAAAUGUAUGCAAUUAAGUCUGUUUAAAUGAUAUUUAAGUUUUAAAGACUGUAUUUUGUUGACACAUACUUUGUGCAGUUUUUAUGUAUGUAUGUAUUAUAAAAAAAGUUAAGGUUAAAAAGAUCUCAUUUAAUAGUGAGUUCACUAUUUUUUUUUUUUUGUCUCUGGGUUGUAAUUUAAUAAUCUUCAAACAAAAUGUUUACGAAAAAUGCCAAAGAUUCUAAAUCUUAUCAUCCCGUGUCUGUUUUUCUUCAUGUUGUAUCUCACUGGGUUGCUUUCUGGCUGAGCCAGAAUUCUGCAUGAUUUGAUUUACUUCAAGUUAAUGAAGCUGGCUGGAAAAGAGCCUUGCAGAAAUUAUAAAAGCUCCAGUAAAUCUCGUAGUUGUACAUACAAUAGAUACCCAAGAACCUCUUUUGUUAAACCAGUUACUCAAUCUUCUGUGUAAACAAUGCCUCAUUGUCUUGCUUCUAACUAUCAUCUAGUUUAUCAUAGUCUGUCAUUUUGUAACGACCUAAGUCAGACAUUUUUAAACAGACAUGUGAGAUCUGAUCAGUCAUUUGAAUGAAAACUUUCAGCAGCAAAAUAACCCCUUAUUUAUUUAAAAGUGGAACCAAUACUUUAUUGUUGUUCUUUUGCUAUAGAAUUUCAAAAUGAAAUUAUUUGCCCGACAAGAAGGCAUCAUUAGUUAGACUUGUUUCCUCUGUAGCCCGAUUGAAAUUCUCAGUGUUAAGUUUAGGACCCAAACACCAGCUGGGACGUAAGAGCAGGACCGAAUCAACCUUGAAUAAACUGUAUAUAGAAAACAAUUGUUAGUUGAUUAAGUAGACAUUGGAUGUUUGUUAGAAAGGAAUGUUAGUUGUAAGUGACAUGUUAAGAUUUAUACAAUUGUCAAAAACUUUUAGGAAAGAUUCCAGAAUGCUUUUGAUAAAAUUUAUCGAUUGUGGAUUCACAGUGUGAUAAUUAAGUAGGGAUGUUGAAGUCUUGCCAAGUUUUCCUGGUUCCCUUCUCAAACUUUAUCUUCCCAUUUCUAGCCCUGUCUCUCUAUCUUACAGGCAUCUACACCUCAGCAAGUCAGAAACUAAACAUCAUCUGUCUCUCCCUGUCUUCAGAACCCCAACCCUCAUAAUCUCCUUCCAGCUUCCUUAUUUCCCUUACCAGGACUGGCAUUUUCUGGGCUUGGAAUUUCUCGGUCAUCCUCUUUUUUUUUGUUCCUCGUGCUGUUGUCCUCGUCUCCCAACCCCUAAAGCCUAGUAGGUCCAGUGUCAAUGCAUUAACCACUUCUGUUCUGAUUUCCACCACCCAAGUGGAGGCCUUCAUAACCUCUCAGACGUCACGGCCAUGAUGCCAGUUACAUUAUGCCUAGUUAAUCUUCAUUCAGACUGGAAGGACCUGCCCCCAGUUGUUUCUUUCUGAAUAGAUUCUACUCUCCUUCAACACUUCCAAAGUCUCCUGCCCCAAAGAGGCUUAGUUAGUCCUGUGGCUGGAUGUGACUCCAACUUCCUUUUUUGUACCAUCACAUCUUUCAUAUCUUUCUGGCAUCUGCCAUACAUCAUAAGAGGCUUUGACCACUGUCCUCCACUGAAUAGCCCAUUACAGCUAGCACCUAAUAGUUACUCAGGAAAUAAAUACAUGUUUAACAGGCCAGGUCGUAGAGAUUAUUUUUCUUUCUCUGCCUUUUCAUGUGCUGCUUUCAGAACAGAGGGCUGGAUUGGAUAGAUUAGUAUGAUCUAUCCUGGAGAUUCAUUUCUUGCAUUAAGAGCUUAUUUUGUGUGAUAUUAUUUAUAAUCCCUGACUAUGUCAAUUAUAAACUUUUAAAUUAUGUCUUAUAUUUGAAGUUCUUACCUACAUAUCAGAGGAAAAUAUAAUGUUUAUUUCUAGGUGGUAAAACAAUCUUCUGGAUUCUUUUUUCUUUACUUGUAAAUUAUCAUUUAACAAGUCUAUAUUGAAUGCCGAUAAUUUUCUGGAACAAAACAGACUACAUUCCCUUGGUAAAGCCAGACAUUAAACAGAUACUUUCAAGCAACAGCAUGCCAUGCUCAGAUUUAAGUUUGAAAAAUAUUCUAGCUGCAAUGGAUAGCCUAGCAAUUUUCAAAGUUUAGAGAAGUUAUUAAUAUUAGCCCUUUGUAGUACUCCUGAUAAAUGAAUAACACCCUGGACUUUCAAAUAGUGGCACUGGGAAAAAAGUAAGUAGAAUUGAGAGAUGGUGAAGAGAUAAAGUGAGCAGGACUUAACAAUUGCUGGACUAUGGGAUGAGGGAGCGUAGAGUCAAGGAUGGCUCUCAGUCCCUAGGUCUCCAGGUCUAGGAAGAUGGUGUUACCUUUCACUAAGGGAGAGAACUGUAAGAACUGCUGUGAGAGGACCACAGGAGUCCAGUUUUAGCGCUGAAUCUCAGGUGACUGAAAAGCAUCCAAAUAGGAAUGUCAGCAAGGUAAUGGAAUAUAUAGUUCUCAGAGAAGUAACACACUGUACUUGAGAUGUACACAAGUUAAAGGCAAACAUUGUAUAUGAAAAGUGAUCAAAACUACAUGCUUCAAGAAAUUAAACCUUGAAGAACUCAACAGUUAAUGUCAUAUAUAGAAAGGCAAGUCAGUUAAGAGUGUAAAUAGAAACGGGUAAAUACAGAGGAGAAAAACAGUAAGCAUGGACUGUCCUAGAAUUCAGUGGCAGAGCAUACUGCAAGAAAGCUGAUGUGGUCAAUAAUAUCAAAUGCCGCUGAGAUCACAUAAGUACAGAAUCAUGACCUUAAUGGUUUGACAGUUUGGAAGCACCCUGGCAACAAGCCAUUUCAGUGGAAUGGUAGAAAUGGAAACCACGCUGGGUUGAGAAGUGAGUGGAUGUGAAAAUAUGGGGCCUCUGAAUGGAGGUAACCCUUGAAAAAUUCCACUGUGGAGAAGAAAGGAGAGAGAGAGGGCUGGAAUUUGGAAUGAAAGGAGAUAUUUGGGAUUAUUUUAGUAAGAAAACAGAGGUGUCAUGACCUCAGUGUAACCCUAUUAGCUGCAAAAAAUUCUUCAUGGGCUUGAGAUGGAGUUAGCCAUAUUCAUUAUUGAAAACUAUGUUCUGCACUUAUACAUUGUUGGUUGGAGUGUAAAUUAGUUCAACCGCUGUGGAAGACAGGGUGGGUGUUUCCUCAAAAACCUAAAGACAGAAAUACCAUUUGACCCAGCAAUCCCAUAACUGGGUAUGUACCCAAAGGAAUAUAAAUUGUUCUACUAUAAAAACACAUGCACACACAUGUUCACUGCAACACUAUUUACAAUAGCAAAGACACUGGAUCAGUCUAAAUGCCCAUCAUUGAUAGAAUGGAUAAAGAAAAUGUGGUAGAGGUACACCAUGGAAUACUAUGCAGCCAUAAAAAAGAAUGAGAUCAUGUCCUUUUGCAGGAACUUGGAUACAGCUGGAGGCCAUUAUCCUUAGCAAACUAAUGCAGCAACAGAAAACCAAAUACCACAUGUUCUCAUUUAUAGGUAGGAGUUAAAUGAUGAGAACACAUGGACAUGUAGAAGGGAACAAAAUACACUGGGGGCUAUUGGAGGGUGAAGGGUGAAAGGAGGAAGAGGAUCAGGAAAAAUAAUGAGUACCAGGCUUAAUACAUGGGCGAUGAAAUAAUCUGUAUGACAAGCCUCUCUGACACAGUUUACCUAUGUAACAAACCUGCACAGUUACCCCUGAACUUUAAAAAAAACUAUGUUCUAUCAAAACCUGCCUCUCAUUUAUGUAUUAGGAAUCUUGUGACAACGGAACAGUUGAAAAAUUAAAAUAAAAAUUGCCUGAAAAUGCA